Molecule: ribosomal RNA, 465 nt
Filed under: uncultured bacterium
Lineage: Bacteria
Description: partial 16S ribosomal RNA
Rfam family: Bacterial small subunit ribosomal RNA
Source: RNAcentral
GACGAACGCUGGCGGCGUGCUUAACACAUGCAAGUCGAACGGAAAGGCCCUGCUUGCAGGGUACUCGAGUGGCGAACGGGUGUGUAACACGUGGGUGAUCUGCCCUGCACUUCGGGAUAAGCCUGGGAAACUGGGUCUAAUACCGGUAAGUCGCCAUUUUUAGUGUGAUGGUUGGAAAGUUUUUUCGGUGUAGGAUGAGCUCGCGGCCUAUCAGCUUGUUGGUGGGGUAAUGGCCUACCAAGGCGGCGAUGGGUAGCCGGCCAGAGAGGGUGGACGGCCACACUGGGACUGAGGUGCGGCCCAGACGCCUACGGGUGGCAGAAGGGGGGAAGAUUGCACAAUGGGCGCAAGCCGGAUGCAGCGACGCCGCGGGGGGGAUGACGGCCUUCGGUUUGUAAACUCCUUUCGCGAGGGACGAAGCUUUUUGUGACGGUACCUAGAGAAGAAGCACCGGCUAACUACGUG